Molecule: ribosomal RNA, 443 nt
Filed under: uncultured bacterium
Lineage: Bacteria
Description: partial 16S ribosomal RNA
Rfam family: Bacterial small subunit ribosomal RNA
Source: RNAcentral
CCUACGGGCGGCAGCAGUGGGGAAUAUUGGGCAAUGGGCGCAAGCCUGACCCAGCAACGCCGCGUGAAGGAAGAAGGCCCUCCGGUUGUUAACUUCUUUUAUUCGGGGCGCAACCAAUGACGGUACCGAAUGAAUAAGCCACGGCUAAAUACGUGGCAUCAGCCGGCGGAAUACGGAGGUGGGCAGCAUUAUCCGGAUUUUCUGGGUGUUAAGGGCGUCUAGGCGGGAGUGCAAGUCAGACGGUAAAUUUCAGUGCUCAAACCCGGUACUGCGUUUGAAACUGUUCGUCUUGAGUGAUUGAGAGGCAGGCGGAAUGCGGUGUGUAGCGGUGAAAUGCGUAGAUAUCACGCGGAACACCAGUGGCGAAGGCGGCAUGCUGGAGAUUAACUGACGCUGAGGCGCGAAAGCGUGGGGAGCGAACAGGAUUAGAUACCCGGGUAGUC